Molecule: ribosomal RNA, 253 nt
Filed under: uncultured bacterium
Lineage: Bacteria
Description: partial 16S ribosomal RNA
Rfam family: Bacterial small subunit ribosomal RNA
Source: RNAcentral
UACGGGGGGAGCAAGCGUUGUUCGGAUUUACUGGGCGUAAAGGGCGCGUAGGCGGCGCAACAAGUCACUUGUGAAAUCUCCGGGCUUAACCCGGAGCGGCCAAGUGAUACUGUCGUGCUAGAGUGCGGAAGGGGCUACUGGAAUUCUCGGUGUAGCGGUGAAAUGCGUAGAUAUCAGGAAGAACACCCGUGGCGAAGGCGGCUCUCUGGGACGGCACUGACGCUGAGACGCGAAAGCGUGGGGAGCAAACAGG